UCAUUAAAUAUGUCAUAAUUCAUUUGAGAUGAAGAUCAUGGAAUAAGAGUAGUGCACCAUAAAUUACUAUUUAUCAUAGCAUUUACUAAUUUAUGUAUCAUUUCAUACUUUUAAAUUCACACCAACAAACACAAUUUAGGAACUAUACAAACGAAUUACUCAAAUCUGAACACUUAUCAAAUGCAAUCGGGUAAUAAACAAACUAAAUACUUACAAAACACAUCAGCGAAAUUGAUUAAAGUAAGGAGUGAAGUAAUAUCAGCUUAGGAAAAGAAAUGAACCUCAACCAAAAUGUCGUCUUCACUAUUAUAAGUAAAACAACCUCCUCUAAUAGCAAAUCUGGAUCCGAGAUUUGGAAAGAAAGAAAACGGAGACAACAAAAUCAGAAUUGGAACCACGAUUUACGACACUCAAUGGCUGGCCGUACUGACUCGGACUCCCUCAGAACGACAGAAACACGGACGAAACUAAAACGGAACCCAUGAACAACGACCACUGACAACCCUAAAGCUCGCCGAAAUUUCAAAUUCGAACCCAGAAUCGAAGACUAAAUAACGAUGACCCAAGCUCUAAAAAGGCGACGAGAAUUUUUAGCUGCUUAAGAGCCGCAGCUGCUGGUUUUCUGCGAUUUGGCAGCCAUUGCUGCUGUUUCCGGUGAGUUCCGAUGGUGGAGGAACAGUAGCCGAUCUACUGCGAAGGUGAAGGAGAAGAAGCGGGCGACGAGGGGGUGUGCUGGUGUGAGAUCGGCGGCAAUUAACUACGAGAUUAGGAGUUUAGGGUUGGGGCAGUAUAUAUGUUUUGAAAGGGUGGAGUUGUCGUUUCCUUCUCUGUUGAAGAAGCAGAAGUUCGGNNN
Molecule: long non-coding RNA, 853 nt
Filed under: Nicotiana benthamiana
Lineage: Eukaryota; Viridiplantae; Streptophyta; Magnoliopsida; Solanales; Solanaceae
Description: long non-coding RNA (NBEN_LNC028708)
Source: RNAcentral